Long non-coding RNA from Quercus robur (English oak), 468 nucleotides. RefSeq lists it as uncharacterized. The transcript is spliced from 2 exons. Lineage: Eukaryota; Viridiplantae; Streptophyta; Magnoliopsida; Fagales; Fagaceae. The record is from RefSeq and is a predicted model, not a curated record.
UGUCAAUGUUCAACCCAACCCGCGAACACGACACGAACCCGACACGGGUUUUUUCGGGUUAGGGUUGGACCUUAAUGGGUUUGGGUCAUAAACGGGUCGACCCGAAAGCGACACAAUAAGAAACGUGUCAUAAGCAGAACUUGCACAAAUGAAAUGGAUGAGCUUGUGGAAGAUGUUAUGAAUUUGGACAUCAACAAAGAAUCUAUGGAUGAUAAUCAUGGUCAUAGUCAGGAUUAGUCUACUGUUUGCUCAAAUUCUUUCAAUAUUGAUUCUUAGCAUUUGGCGAGUUUCAAGGAUAUUAUAUUUUUGUUGAACUAUGUUAUUUUAUUUUUGUUAAGCUUUGUUAUUUUGAAUUUGGGUUGAAGUGUAUGCACUUCUUUUGGAGUGUAAAGAACUUAUAUUCUAGAUGAAUAUUAUAUUUUUGUUGAACUAUAUUAUUUUGAAUAUGGGUUGAAAACUUGAAGUGUA